UGAAUGUUAGUACCACAAGUGUGAAUGAGGUUUGUGAUGAAACCAUGAAGAUAGUUUAGCCUCCUUCGCAAAAGUCUAUUCCUAAUAUGUCCAUGUUUUUCUGUUCAUAUGGCCAUUUUAUAUAAACACAUAUUCUUGGCCAAAGAUC
This is a long non-coding RNA of Sinocyclocheilus rhinocerous, 148 nucleotides long. RefSeq lists it as uncharacterized. The record is from RefSeq and is a predicted model, not a curated record. The transcript has 3 exons. NCBI's taxonomy places the organism in Eukaryota, Metazoa, Chordata, Actinopteri, Cypriniformes, Cyprinidae.